GAUGAACGCUGGCGGCGUGCCUAAUACAUGCAAGUCGAGCGAACGGACGAGAAGCUUGCUUCUCUGAUGUUAGCGGCGGACGGGUGAGUAACACGUGGAUAACCUACCUAUAAGACUGGGAUAACUUCGGGAAACCGGAGCUAAUACCGGAUAAUAUUUUGAACCGCAUGGUCCAAAAGUGGAAGACGGUCUUGCUGUCACUUAUAGAUGGAUCCGCGCUGCAUUAGCUAGUUGGUAAGGUAACGGCUUACCAAGGCAACGAUGCAUAGCCGACCUGAGAGGGUGAUCGGCCACACUGGAACUGAGACACGGUCCAGACUCCUACGGGAGGCAGCAGUAGGGAAUCUUCCGCAAAGGGCGAAAGCCUGACGGAGCAACGCCGCGUGAGUGAUGAAGGUCUUCGGAUCGUAAAACUCUGUUAUUAGGGAAGAACAUAUGUGUAAGUAACUGUGCACAUCUUGACGGUACCUAAUCAGAAAGCCACGGCUAACUACGUG
This 497-nucleotide ribosomal RNA is filed under the name uncultured bacterium. RNAcentral describes it as "partial 16S ribosomal RNA". It matches the Rfam family "Bacterial small subunit ribosomal RNA", at positions 28 to 507 of the family's 1533-position model. The record is from RNAcentral.